GUUACUCCUCAUAUUUGUUUUCGUUUUUUCUUGCAGGAGCGCGGUGUUUUUUACACAGAGAUUUCCGUAACCCAAGCCACAGAAAGUUCCGUCUCUUGCGUCGUUUAGUCAGAAGAGGAGAACCCUGGAAGUCUGUAACUCAUUGAAAUCCUUCUUUGAUAAGCCUUCGAUAGGGAGGUAUUUCGUCCGAGGGUCUUCAGUCUUUUUAGGGUUUUUUAUUUUGAUGACCUCAAGAAAAAAGUUCUAAGUCCUAUGAAAUAAUAUUUGCUCGUUCGCAGGUCUAUAGGUACAGACAAAAGGAAAAAAAAACAUAGAAAGAACAGAAAAUAAGCCAUGGGCAUUGCGGAAGAGAAACGAAACAGAGAUGAUAACGUCCCCAUUAGCGGCGAAAGUGAGGAAAGACAUUUUGAGGGAGAAACUAGUGAAGAACCAUAUUUGGAACGCGGGACCGGAAGUGUAUGUAGUGCAAGCGAUGAGAUAAAGCAGUCAGAUAUCCGCGGUUCCCUCCAGGGUUAGUUUUAAGGUCUUAGGAUUUUAUAGUAUGGAUUAUAGAACUCUAUAUGUGCUUGUGUUAGAAAUUUUGGUUUAUUAGAUUUAGGGAGAGAGGGUUCUCGCGCUGAAAGUCAGCCCUCCCAAAUUUACCGCGAAAAUGAGGAGAAAAGGAGAAUAACCACUGUACUUUUCUUGUUUUCGAAUCUUCGUUGGUGGCCUUGCCCGCGACACGACAGAAGAGGCUUUCACUGAUUAUUUCAACAAAUAUGGAGAAAUUAGUGAUUCAGCAAUAAUGAAGGAUAAACAUACUAGAAGGCCACAGGGGUUUGGAUUUGUUACAUUUGCUGACCCAGCAGUUGUGGAGAAGGCUUUGGAAAGACGGACAUAUUAUUGAUGGCAGAACAGUAGAAGUGAAGAAAACAGCCCCAAAAGGGGAUAUGCAAAUGCAAGUUAAAGUGGAGCAGAUAACCAGAAAGGUUUUUGUUGGUGGAAUACCCCCAUCUUUCACCGAAGAUGAGUUGAAGGAAUAUUUUUCUUCAUAUGAUUCCAUUGUUGAGCACCAGAUCAUGUGGGACCAUAGCACCAGACUGUCACGAGGUUUUGAUUUCGUCACAUUUGAAGAUGAAAAUAUUGUCGAAGAGAUCAUAUCUGAGGGAAGACCACAUGAACUUGGGGGCAAACAGGUGAACCGUAAAAUCAAGAUAGGAAUACAUUCUAGUGAUUGGAACUAACCUGGAGAAGGGUAUGAUACAAGAGCUCAUAAUGGUGGUGUUUCAACCUCAUAUGGGGAGUUUGGCAGUCAUGCAGUAGGAUAUAAUGCUGGUUAUAUAUUUGGUGGAGGGUAUGAUGGAAGAAUGACAGGAGGGUAUUAUGCAGGAUAUGGCCUAGGCUAUUAUGGGUAUGGUGGAUCCAUGUACUAUGUAGAGGCAUAUGGGGGGCCACUUGAUAUUGGUGGUGCUGGUUGUUAGGGUGCAUAUGGGAGUACUGCUGCUGUCAACGGAAGGUAUCACCCAUAUGGAAAGCGAGACAAUUUACAGAAUACAGGUACAAAACCUAUGGUUACUCAUGACGCAUAAAAGCAGAAGUUAUCAUCUAUGUGGAAGGAACUAUUUUGAGUAUCAGUUGGAUGUCUUGUUCUGAUUCUCAUGAAGCAUACACAUAGUCCUUUUCUUCUUGGGGUUCUGUAUGUCCAACCUCAAGUCUUGAUGUCACAAUUAGAAUGCUCCAAUUUUUUUUUUUUUUUCAUAUUUUGUGAAUGGUGUAAUUGUUGGGUUUUCUUUUUCUUUUUGUUCAGUUGACAAGUAGAUACAAGCGACUGAUUAUAGAUUAUAAUUGCAGAAUUUAUCAAUGCAAAAUUGCAAAAUGACGGGGUUUUCAUAAUGUUAAUCAAGUUCAGUUUGGAAGGAGUGCAAAU
Nelumbo nucifera (sacred lotus) is the source of this 1906-nucleotide non-coding RNA. The record is from RefSeq and is a predicted model, not a curated record. Lineage: Eukaryota; Viridiplantae; Streptophyta; Magnoliopsida; Proteales; Nelumbonaceae.